UACGGAGGGUGCAAGCGUUAUCCGGAUUCACUGGGUUUAAAGGGUGCGUAGGCGGGCAUUUAAGUCAGUGGUGAAAUACCUGAGCUUAACUUGGGAACUGCCAUUGAUACUAUUUGUCUUGAAUGUCGUGGAGGUUAGCGGAAUAUGUCAUGUAGCGGUGAAAUGCUUAGAUAUGACAUAGAACACCUAUUGCGAAGGCAGCUAACUACGCGAAUAUUGACGCUGAGGCACGAAAGCGUGGGGAU
This 245-nucleotide ribosomal RNA is filed under the name uncultured Sediminibacterium sp. RNAcentral's name for it is "partial 16S ribosomal RNA". It matches the Rfam family "Bacterial small subunit ribosomal RNA", at positions 524 to 768 of the family's 1533-position model. Lineage: Bacteria; Pseudomonadati; Bacteroidota; Chitinophagia; Chitinophagales; Chitinophagaceae. The record is from RNAcentral.